GACGAACGCUGGCGGCGUGCUUAACACAUGCAAGUCGAACGGUAAGGCUCCAGCUUGCUGGGGUACACGAGUGGCGAACGGGUGAGUAACACGUGGGUUACCUGCCCUGCACUUCGGGAUAAGCCUGGGAAACUGGGUCUAAUACCGGAUAGGACCAUGGUGUGGAUACUGUGGUGGAAAGUUUUUUCGGUUUGGGAUGGGCCCGCGGCCUAUCAGCUUGUUUGUGGAGUAAUGGCCUACCAAGGCGGCGACGGGUAGCCGGCCUGAGAGGGUGGACGGCGAAAUUGGGACUGAGAGACGGCCCAGACUCCUACGGGAGGCAGCAGUGGGGAAUAUUGCACAAUGGGCGGAAGCCUGAUGCAGCGACGCCGCGUGGGGGAUGACGGCCUUCGGGUUGUAAACACCUUUCACCAUAGACGAAGGGUUUCUGACGGUAGAUGGAGAAGAAGCACCGGCUAACUACGUG
This 466-nucleotide ribosomal RNA is filed under the name uncultured bacterium. Its description in RNAcentral is "partial 16S ribosomal RNA". It matches the Rfam family "Bacterial small subunit ribosomal RNA", at positions 28 to 507 of the family's 1533-position model. The record is from RNAcentral.